Molecule: ribosomal RNA, 291 nt
Filed under: uncultured bacterium
Lineage: Bacteria
Description: partial 16S ribosomal RNA
Rfam family: Archaeal small subunit ribosomal RNA
Source: RNAcentral
GUGCGCAGCCGCGGUAAUACCGGCAGCCCGAGUGAUGACCGAUCUUAUUGGGCCUAAAGUGUCCGUAGCUGGCUACGCAAGUCCGUCGGGAAAUCCACUCGCCCAACGAGUGGGCGUCCGACGGAAACUGCAUAGCUUGGGACCGGAAGGCUCGAAGGGUACGUUCGGGGUAGGAGUGAAAUCCCAUAAUCCCGCACGGACCACCGAUGGCGAAAGCACUUCGAGAAAACGGAUCCGACAGUGAGGGACGAAAGCCAGGGUCUCCAACCGGAUUAGAUACCCUAGUAGUCC